AGGCCUAACACAUGCAAGUCGAACGGUAACAGGAAGCAGCUUGCUGCUUUGCUGACGAGUGGCGGACGGGUGAGUAAUGUCUGGGAAACUGCCUGAUGGAGGGGGAUAACUACUGGAAACGGUAGCUAAUACCGCAUAACGUCGCAAGACCAAAGAGGGGGACCUUCGGGCCUCUUGCCAUCGGAUGUGCCCAGAUGGGAUUAGCUAGUAGGUGGGGUAACGGCUCACCUAGGCGACGAUCCCUAGCUGGUCUGAGAGGAUGACCAGCCACACUGGAACUGAGACACGGUC
RNAcentral lists this ribosomal RNA (291 nucleotides) under Escherichia coli. RNAcentral's name for it is "partial 16S ribosomal RNA". It matches the Rfam family "Bacterial small subunit ribosomal RNA", at positions 46 to 331 of the family's 1533-position model. Lineage: Bacteria; Pseudomonadati; Pseudomonadota; Gammaproteobacteria; Enterobacterales; Enterobacteriaceae. The record is from RNAcentral.